RNAcentral lists this transfer RNA (98 nucleotides) under Streptomyces mashuensis. RNAcentral describes it as "tRNA-Thr". Lineage: Bacteria; Bacillati; Actinomycetota; Actinomycetes; Kitasatosporales; Streptomycetaceae. The record is from RNAcentral.
GCGCGCGUAGGGGUGGACCACUUCCUCCUCGGCCGUCUCGUGCACGGCGAGCAGGUGGACCAGCCGCCGGAAGCAGUGCCGGCGCUGUUCGCCCGUGC